AAGGCCACAAUAGUUGAAGCCGAUAAGAUAAAAUGGGGGACAGAGGGAAGAGGAGUGUGCCGCUGCUGGGUUUGUGCUUUCCGAUCCCAUUUCCCCCAAACCAGGGGCUAUUGCCAUUUGCUUAUUGGCCUCCACUCGCUGAAGUCGACCCAGCGAAGUAGAUUGGCGGCGUGAGCGAACGCACGUACCUGGGUGAGGUUCUUCUGUCCUAUAUGCAUAGUAUGCGUUUGUAUACGA
RNAcentral lists this long non-coding RNA (237 nucleotides) under Musa acuminata (dwarf banana). Its description in RNAcentral is "long non-coding RNA (MACU_LNC005568)". Lineage: Eukaryota; Viridiplantae; Streptophyta; Magnoliopsida; Zingiberales; Musaceae. The record is from RNAcentral.